This 223-nucleotide ribosomal RNA is filed under the name Campylobacter jejuni. RNAcentral's name for it is "partial 23S ribosomal RNA". It matches the Rfam family "Bacterial large subunit ribosomal RNA", at positions 1860 to 2082 of the family's 2925-position model. The record is from RNAcentral. Lineage: Bacteria; Pseudomonadati; Campylobacterota; Epsilonproteobacteria; Campylobacterales; Campylobacteraceae.
UGCCCGGUGCUCGAAGGUUAAUUGAUGGGGUUAGCAUUAGCGAAGCUCUUGAUCGAAGCCCGAGUAAACGGCGGCCGUAACUAUAACGGUCCUAAGGUAGCGAAAUUCCUUUUCGGUUAAAAACCGACCUGCAUGAAUGGCGUAACGAGAUGGGAGCUGUCUCAAAGAGGGAUCCAGUGAAAUUGUAGUGGAGGUGAAAAUUCCUCCUACCCGCGGCAAGACG